This 1016-nucleotide long non-coding RNA is filed under the name Citrus x clementina. Its description in RNAcentral is "Citrus clementina (C. clementina) long non-coding RNA (CCLE_LNC003861)". Lineage: Eukaryota; Viridiplantae; Streptophyta; Magnoliopsida; Sapindales; Rutaceae. The record is from RNAcentral.
GCUGUACCUAACUCUUAUAUAUGGGGAUCCAUCUUAUUUACACAUUUGUAGUGAUGAAUAAAUUAACUCUGAUUAUUGCAUCCGUUUGCGGAGACGGCAUUCUCAUGACCCCAAAAAAAUUUAGAAUAAUGAAGAAGGCCACCCGCUUAAAUGGAAGAGUGACGAGGAUGGGACCCACGGCCCAUUUGAGACGCGUCCACAUUGAGUGGGCAAAAGUGUUUUUAUUAUUUACGAAUUAAAACUAAAACGAAAACGGAGAUCAUCAAAUCAAAUCGAACGCGAUUUGUGCCCCGCGCCUACUCAAAAAGGACAAUCCGUACCGAUCCGUAUCUCCUUAUCACCUCUCCACUCUCCCCCCAUUAUUUUUUGUCUGAGAGGAAGGGCCGGUUCCGGUAUAUCGACAUUUUCAUUGGUGCGAUCAAUGCCUAUCACGACCGUUGAUUUAAUUUUCUAAUUUUUUUUUUUAAAAUUUCUUUGAGACUAGGUCAGUCGAAUCCGAGUCGGGUGAUUCAUAUUGCGGAUGAUGGGCAACCUCGAGGGGCGUCACUUUCUUUACGGAACUGUCUUUUGACAAAUUUAAAAAUUAUGAGUGGGGCUUGGGAUAUCAUAAUGCUUUUCCUCAUUUUUUUUUUCUUCUUCUUUUUUAUUUUUCACUUUAAUUUUCUUCCUGUUUAAUAAUAGAUACAAUUUCACAAUUCACAACGGGGCAAGCAGGGGCUCGUAGAAAAUAAAAAAUAAAAAUUCUUUGAUAGUCUAGCUUUUAUAUAUACACACCCUAUUUACGGAAAAGUAAUACGUAUUUUUUAUGGUUGCCUACCUGUGCACAUAUAUUCCUUCAAUUAGAUUAUAUUUUGUCGAGUGUAUGUCCCACUCCCAAUUAGUUAUGUAAAAAUGAAAAUCUAUUAGUCAACUACAAACGCUUUGUACAAAUAAAUAUGUAUAAAGUGAUGAGACAUGAAGAAAUUUGUUUAAAAUUAUGUAAUUCAAAAUAAUAAUAAUAAUAAUAAUAAUAGCAG